This 525-nucleotide ribosomal RNA is filed under the name uncultured bacterium. RNAcentral's name for it is "bacterial SSU rRNA". It matches the Rfam family "Bacterial small subunit ribosomal RNA", at positions 777 to 1314 of the family's 1533-position model. The record is from RNAcentral.
AAUAGAUACCCUGGUAGUCCUAGCCGUAAACGAUGAACACUAGGCGUAGUCGGUAUCGACCCCGGCUGUGCCGUAGCUAACGCAUUAAGUGUUCCGCCUGGGGAGUACGGCCGCAAGGCUAAAACUCAAAGGAAUUGACGGAGGCCCGCACAAGCAGCGGAGCGUGUGGUUUAAUUCGUCGCAACGCGAAGAACCUUACCAGGGCUUGACAUGUGGCGGAAAACGGCGGAAACGUCGUCCUCCCGCAAGGGACCGUCAUGCAGGUGUUGCAUGGCUGUCGUCAGCUCGUGUCGUGAGAUGUUGGGUUAAGUCCCGCAACGAGCGCAACCCCCGUGGCAUGUUGUAUCUCUCAUGCCAGACUGCCGAGAGAAACUCGGAGGAAGGUGGGGAUGACGCCAAGUCAGCAUGGCCCUUACGUCCUGGGCUACACACACGCUACAAUGGCCGGUACAACGGGUUGCCAAACCGCGAGGUGGAGCUAAUCCCUUAAAGCCGGUCUCAGUUCGGAUUGCAGGCUGCAACUCG